RNAcentral lists this long non-coding RNA (559 nucleotides) under Ursus maritimus (polar bear). RNAcentral's name for it is "lncRNA (ENSUMAG00000018492.1)". Lineage: Eukaryota; Metazoa; Chordata; Mammalia; Carnivora; Ursidae. The record is from RNAcentral.
GGAGGAGAGCGUUUUCUUCACUCUUUCGCUGCCUGCCCGCCCUCAGCAUUUUUCAGCACUCCGGCUGCCGGCGGCGUUCGCAGAAGCAACAGCUCCCCAGCCGGCUGUACCGAGGAGCUGUGCAGCCCCAAAUAAGGCAGAAGGAUUAGAUGCGCUGUGAUAGAUCAUUUACUGUAAAUAAAGCCAUCAGGGAGCGAGCUGCGCUGAGAAUAAAUGACCUGUGCAGAAAAGUGUUCUGAAAAGAGAAGGAAGCCUUUCCGGAGCCAGGAGACAGUGUGCGCUCUCCAACCUGCACCGACCUAGCGGUUCUGCAACCCCUCUCGUCCCACCGGGCGAGUUUUCUCCUCUGCUGUCGCCCGCAAUGCUCCACUGGCAUCCUGGUUGACCCUGAGGACCUUUCACAAAUGACAGAAACAGGUCAAAGAAAACAGGUAAUUUAGUUCUUCCUAUUCAGGCAACUCAUAAACUCUUAAGCAAAAAAAAAAAAAAAAAAAAAAAAAAAAACCCAAUACAUAUAAUUUUUUUAACUACCCAAUAAAGACCUGGCUUUUUGUUUACA